Molecule: ribosomal RNA, 119 nt
Filed under: Salvator merianae (Argentine black and white tegu)
Lineage: Eukaryota; Metazoa; Chordata; Lepidosauria; Squamata; Teiidae
Source: RNAcentral
GCCUAUGGCCAUAUCACCCUGAACACACCCAAUUUCAUCUGAUUUCAGAAGCUAAGCAGGGUCAGGCCUGGUUAGUACUUGGUUGGGAGACCACCUGGGAAUACUGGGUGCUGUAGGCA